CCUACGGGUGGCUGCAGUGAGGAAUAUUGGUCAAUGGGCUUACGCCUGAACCAGCCAAGUCGCGUGAGGGAAGACUGCCCUAUGGGUUGUAAACCUCUUUUGUCAGGGAGCAAUUGGCGCUACGUGUAGCGUUAUCGAGAGUACCUGAAGAAAAAGCAUCGGCUAACUCCGUGCCAGCAGCCGCGGUAAUACGGAGGUCCGGGCGUUAUCCGGAUUUAUUGGGUUUAAAGGGAGCGUAGGCCGCAUGUCAAGCGUGCUGUGAAAUGUCCGGGCUCAACCCGGGCCUUGCAGCGCGAACUGGCGUGCUUGAGUCCGCGGAGAGCAGGCGGAAUUCGUCGUGUAGCGGUGAAAUGCUUAGAUAUGACGAAGAACCCCGAUUGCGAAGGCAGCUUGCUGCAGCGGAACUGACGCUGAUGCUCGAAAGCGCGGGUAUCGAACAGGAUUAGAUACCCCAGUAGUC
Molecule: ribosomal RNA, 460 nt
Filed under: uncultured bacterium
Lineage: Bacteria
Description: partial 16S ribosomal RNA
Rfam family: Bacterial small subunit ribosomal RNA
Source: RNAcentral